CCUACGGGCGGCUGCAGUAAGGAAUAUUGGUCAAUGGAGGAAACUCUGAACCAGCCAUCCCGCGUGAAGGAUGAAGGGGCUCUGCCUUGUAAACUUCUUUUGUCUGGGGCGAAAAAGCUCGAUUUAUCGAGAACUGACGGUACCAGACGAAUAAGCACCGGCUAACUCCGUGCCAGCAGCCGCGGUAAUACGUAGGGUGCAAGCGUCAUCCGGUUUCCAUGGGUUUAAAGCGUCCGAGUACGGCAGUGGUGAAAGGCUGUGGCUUAACCAUGGAAUUGCCAUUGAUACUGCAGAGCUUGAAUGAGGUUGAGGUUGGCGGAAUGUGACAUGUAGCGGUGAAAUGCUUAGAUAUGUCAUGGAACACCGAUUGCGAAGGCAGCUGACUGGACCUAUAUUGACGCUGAGGCACGAAAGCGUGGGGAGCGAACAGGAUUAGAUACCCCAGUAGUC
RNAcentral lists this ribosomal RNA (450 nucleotides) under uncultured bacterium. RNAcentral describes it as "partial 16S ribosomal RNA". It matches the Rfam family "Bacterial small subunit ribosomal RNA", at positions 338 to 795 of the family's 1533-position model. The record is from RNAcentral.